AUUGAACGCUGGCGGCAUGCCUUACACGUGCAAGUCGAACGGCAGCACGGGUGCUUGCACCUGGUGGCGAGUGGCGAACGGGUGAGUAAUACAUCGGAACGUACCUUAUCGUGGGGGAUAACGCAGCGAAAGUUGCGCUAAUACCGCAUACGCCCUGAGGGGGAAAGCGGGGGACCGUAAGGCCCCGCGCGUUUAGAGCGGCCGAUGUCUGAUUAGCUUGUUGGUGAGGUAAAAGCUCACCAAGGCGAUGAUCAGUAGCUGGUCUGAGAGGACGAUCAGCCACACUGGGACUGAGACACGGCCCAGACUCCUACGGGAGGCAGCAGUGGGGAAUUUUGGACAAUGGGGGCAACCCUGAUCCAGCAAUGCCGCGUGAGUGAAGAAGGCCUUCGGGUUGUAAAGCUCUUUUGUCAGGGAAGAAACAGCAGCUCUAACACAGUCUGCGAAUGACGGUACCUGAAGAAUAAGCACCGGCUAACUACGUGCCAGCCGCCGCCGUAA
This 501-nucleotide ribosomal RNA is filed under the name uncultured bacterium. RNAcentral's name for it is "partial 16S ribosomal RNA". It matches the Rfam family "Bacterial small subunit ribosomal RNA", at positions 30 to 523 of the family's 1533-position model. The record is from RNAcentral.